AGCUUACGCCCACUCUCAGGUGCUGAUGGUGGAUACAGCUAUCAGUUAAACGGGAAGUUGGUGAAUACAGUGUGUGAUUCCAACGCUGCCCCCGCAACGGUAAUCGAGAUAAGAACGGCCAAGAUGCCACUGUGCUUACGCAUGGGAAGGUGGUCGUUCGGAAAGAAGUGGCUUGCUUAAGUUGAUUGUGCAAGCUGUCUUUCGCUCGUUAGCCCGGAGACCGGCCCGAGAGUAUAGGUUCAA
This 243-nucleotide non-coding RNA is filed under the name Halomonas sp. Lineage: Bacteria; Pseudomonadati; Pseudomonadota; Gammaproteobacteria; Oceanospirillales; Halomonadaceae. The record is from RNAcentral.